AUGUAGGGCUCUAAAAGAUGAUGC
This 24-nucleotide non-coding RNA is filed under the name Arabidopsis thaliana (thale cress). The record is from RNAcentral. Lineage: Eukaryota; Viridiplantae; Streptophyta; Magnoliopsida; Brassicales; Brassicaceae.